Molecule: unclassified non-coding RNA, 85 nt
Filed under: Bacillus thuringiensis serovar israelensis
Lineage: Bacteria; Bacillati; Bacillota; Bacilli; Caryophanales; Bacillaceae
Description: PyrR
Source: RNAcentral
AUAACCUUUUAAUUCAGUCCUGUGAGACAGAAAAGGGUGGCUUCUUCCUUGCACCCUAGUCUUACAUGACUAGGGUAUUUUUAUA